CCACAUGGAACCUAAACGCCAUUUUAUGUAACUUGAAAUAAUACGGUGCCUGAGCUUGCUGAUAAGAGCUGGCCCUCAAGCAAGACCACCAAACAGCUCCAUUUUACCUAGCCCAGGACAAACCUUGAUAGGCUAGUGAACCAGCUCCAAGCUGUGAACCCUGGUAACUCAAAGCUACCACCCAAUGUAAUGAUACACAAACUGGAACUUUGGAAAUGGUCAGCUAACCCCUGUGUUGAUACUCAUCCUCCGCAAGAGGACUUGAGACUCUGUGCCUGGCCCCGGCCUCUGUGACUGUUGACUGGGCUCAUACAGGUCAGCCUGUCAGCACUAGCUGCUGACCGGCACUCCCAAGGCCUUCAUCCUGGACUGUCCUAGCAGAAAGACUUCACAGCGAAUGUGGACUGGGCCUGCAAGCUUCUGAAGGUCUUCACUGGAGAAGAUUUCCCAGUAGCAGACUCCCCUUUAGCAGCAUUUCUGCCCAGACAACUGUUUCCCGCUUGGUCUUGUGGCUGAAGAGUGGGGCUGAGGGAGAGGCAUCAAAAUCAGCAGAUGUAAGAAGCCAAUGACAGAAAGGACUGGAGAUUCUGCCCCACAGAGGCUGAUGUGUGACAGCAUCCACCCAACAAGUGUUCCUUGUGCAAAGGUUCCAAUCUGCCUACCAACGGUGUCGCUGAGAGGGUAGCCUUCUUCCAGGGCUCCCUGGCCCACUUCCCAUCCUACAGGUGUCUGAUAUUUAAAUAAACUGUCUCUAUUUUCAUUGCCA
Molecule: long non-coding RNA, 766 nt
Organism: Arvicola amphibius (Eurasian water vole)
Lineage: Eukaryota; Metazoa; Chordata; Mammalia; Rodentia; Cricetidae
Exons: 2
Source: RefSeq, a predicted model, not a curated record